CUUCAGGAACACAAACUAAUAGAUCCUGACUUUACCCCUGUGAGUUAUAUAGGUACAAAUUACUAUCACUUUUAGAGAUGAGGAAACAGAUACAGAGAAGAACUGAGUUCCUGGAUGCCAGUCCCCUGACUGGAUCACUAGACCAUGCUUCUCUUUAAUUUAAGGAACUGCACUUUUUCAUGUAUAAGCAUAGAUGCACAUGUGUUGUAUGAAAAUGUAACAAAACCCUAUUGCCUAAUAUUUGAAAGCAUUUAAUAGGUACAUAACUUUUAACUCUACUGAAAUACGUUGUGCACAGAGAACUUGUAUGGCAGCACAGGGAAUAAAGUAAUUUACAAAAAGCUAUUUAUAUAGAGAAAGCUGUUGUAUGUGCUAUUGUGUGUAUAUAUGGCAUCGGGUGGACUGGGCCCCAAGAGGGAACUGGUUCAGGCCACUUGAACCUCAUUAAUAGACUCUGGAGAGGGCAGCUGGUCUCUGUAAAGAGCCAGGGAGGAACAGGAACCAGGAAGAAGAAGUUGUAGCAGAAUGAAGCUGCCGAGAGUUAGUAGGCUCCUCCAGGCUGCAGUGCAUAGAAAGUUUCAUGAGAGUCUCAGACUUCAGGGACAAAAAAAUUCCCACCAGAGAGUCUGCCGUCUAAUUCAGCAAAAGACAGAAGUGAAUUGGGAAUUCAGGGUUACACACUCAGGACAAAGGACUGCAACUUUAAACUUGUCUCUUGGCAAACCAUGUUUAGUCCUUUCCCUAAUCACUGAGGAAGAAUGAGAUUAGCCUGUUGUUCGCUGGGGAUCAUGUCACACAUUUCAUUUUGACACCCACCUCUGAAUGAUUAGCCCCAUCACUACUAUGAUGGCAUACAGUCUGCUGUCUUUUGCCAUAAUUUCAGCCAGCUAAAAAUCCUGCUCCCUCCAGGUCCCUAAGAAUUUAAUCUUGCUCUGCAGCAGAAGGAGAUGGUGUCCCAGUAUCUUCUCCCCUGCCCAAUGGUUGUCUUUGCUGAAUAAAAGGAGAAGUUAGACUUCUUGGAGGAGGAAU
RNAcentral lists this long non-coding RNA (1029 nucleotides) under Gopherus agassizii (Agassiz's desert tortoise). RNAcentral describes it as "lncRNA (ENSGAGG00000017525.1)". Lineage: Eukaryota; Metazoa; Chordata; Testudines; Testudinidae. The record is from RNAcentral.